This 375-nucleotide ribosomal RNA is filed under the name Streptococcus pneumoniae. Its description in RNAcentral is "partial 23S ribosomal RNA". It matches the Rfam family "Eukaryotic large subunit ribosomal RNA", at positions 1249 to 1576 of the family's 3401-position model. The record is from RNAcentral. Lineage: Bacteria; Bacillati; Bacillota; Bacilli; Lactobacillales; Streptococcaceae.
UGGCCAUGGAAGUUGGAAUCCGCUAAGGAGUGUGUAACAACUCACCUGCCGAAGCAACUAGCCCUUAAAAUGGUAUGGCGCUCAAGCAUUCUCCCGAUACUCGACCGCCGGUGGCACUACAGGCCAAGCUGCCCCUCUGGCGGGGGGCAGCCCAGGUCUCCAAGCCCCGGCGAGUAGGAGGGUCGCAGGGGUGAGCGCUGAAGGGAUCCGGCGUGAGCCGGCCUGGAGCCGCCCCUGGUGCAGAUCUUGGUGGUAGUAGCAAAUAGUCGAGAGAGACUUCCCUUGAAGGCCGAUGUGGAGAAGGGUUCCAUGUGAACAUCAGUUGGACAUGGGUUAGUCGCUCCUAAGCCCAAGGCUAAAGCCUUAUCCCACGCG